UUUUUCCAUCAACCACGUUUAACAAGAACAACUCCUGAAGAAAUAUCUACCGUUGGAUCGAAAACCCCAUGUGAUGAUCUUUUUCACAACUCAUGAAGAAGAAAACUAGAAGGUCAACCCAUUCCCAAACAAAACCCCUUCUUCCAUAAAAAGUUAAACCUAAUUGUUGAAGAUGAAAAAGAAGAAACAUUGAUUUUGACUUUCACCUGUUUGAUCAAAUUCCACACCUUGUGCUGAG
This 238-nucleotide long non-coding RNA is filed under the name Vigna radiata. RNAcentral describes it as "long non-coding RNA (VRAD_LNC016157)". The record is from RNAcentral. Lineage: Eukaryota; Viridiplantae; Streptophyta; Magnoliopsida; Fabales; Fabaceae.